GGCAAUGGCGGGCGCCCCUCCCCCCAGCCUCGCUGCCGACUUGCUGUUUGAUCUCAGACUGCUGUGCUAGCAAUCAGCGAGACUCCGUGGGCGUAGGAUCCUCUGAGCCAGUGAGAUGAACACGGUACCUCAGAUGGAAAUGCAGAAAUCACCCGUCUUCUGCGUCGCUCGUGCUGGGAGCUGUAGACCAGAGCUGUUCCUAUUCGGCCAUCUUGGCUCCUCCCCAAUGUUUCUCUGAAGACACGUCAUUUUACCCAAGACCUGAAAGAUGAGGAUGGUCAAGCCCUAUCACAAAACAAGUGAAGAUGUCCA
Pongo pygmaeus (Bornean orangutan) is the source of this 312-nucleotide long non-coding RNA. RefSeq lists it as uncharacterized. NCBI's taxonomy places the organism in Eukaryota, Metazoa, Chordata, Mammalia, Primates, Hominidae. The transcript is spliced from 3 exons. The record is from RefSeq and is a predicted model, not a curated record.